UGCACCCCUUCACAAUAAUAGACCCAACCAGCUGUGACACGGUCACGCAAUGCAUUAGUAAUCACUUCAUCAGGUCAAGCUGAACAACCUGUAUAUCCAUAGAAAUUCAUUGUGAGUCAGUGUUUACUGGUUCAACUAAGGGAUGAAGCAUGUGUUAUCUUACAUUUAGAUUUAGAAAACAUUUACAUCUGUUGUUGAGAGAAUCAGGUUUCAGUUGUCUCUGAGGUUUGUCUUGUACCAAACUUGCUGCAUCAGUUCAAUGCAGACCAAAAAGAGUUGCUGGUUGGCACUGGCAGGAGUCCAGGAACCGGUUGUUAUAUUCACUGGCUGUGUUUCCCUCUUCAAACUUGGAGACAGUUUAUUUUGCCUUAUAUGUUACUUGUUCAGAAGCUGUCUCACUUCUGUAACAUUUGUUUGAUAUGUUGUUGUUGUUAUUCAUUUAAUUAAAUUAAGGUGAGCUCAAUGGAACUAGAAGCUGUUGUUAUUGUGUCUUAAGAUGUAUGCUGGCCUGGACAUGAUGAUCCCAUCUUGCAGUAACUAAUAGAUAAGCCGACCUCCUACAGAUUGCAUUUUUGGGUCCUCAAAAUUCGGCUUGUCUAUAGUAAUAUGCAGUACCAGUAAAGGUCUUCACCAGAUGGUACAGGGUUAUCCUGUAUGGGUGAGGUCUUCACCAGAUGGUACAGGGUUAUCCUGUAUGGGUGAGGCCUUCACCAGAUGGUACAGGGUUAUCCUGUAUGGGAGUGAGGUCUUCACCAGAUGGUACAGGGUUAUCCUGUAUGGGUGAUGUCUUCACCAGAUGGUACAGGGUUAUCCUGUAUGGGUGAGGUCUUCACCAGAUGGUACAGGGUUAUCCUGUAUGGGAGUGAGGUCUUCACCAGAUGGUACAGGGUUAUCCUGUAUGGGUGAGGUCUUCACCAGAUGGUACAGGGUUAUCCUGUAUGGGUGAGGUCUUCACCAGAUGGUACAGGGUUAUCCUGUAUGGGUGAUGUCUUCACCAGAUGGUACAGGGUUAUCCUGUAUGGGUGAGGUCUUCACCAGAUGGUACAGGGUUAUCCUGUAUGGGAGUGAGGUCUUCACCAGAUGGUACAGGGUUAUCCUGUAUGGGAGUGAGGUCUUCACCAGAUGGUACAGGGUUAUCCUGUAUGGGAGUGAGGCCUUCACCAGAUGGUACAGGGUUAUCCUGUAUUGGUGAUGUCUUCACCAGAUGGUACAGGGUUAUCCUGAAUCAGUCAGACCCUCCUGGAUUCCCCAGCAAAUUAAUGUAAAUUCUGCAUCCCAUUUUUUUCAAAAUUCUGCAGAAAAAUCUGCAGUUAAAUACCCAACAGAAAAUGAUAAAGAAUUUCAGUCUUUAAUUCUUAUACACAAAGCUGUAACUGGUUUAGAGCUUCAUGACAUUCAAGGUACAGCCAGCAGUUCGUUUUUUCUUGCAAGAUGAUUUUUAAAUUUACAAAGAUGGUCUGAAACAGUACUCUUACGAGUGUGAUCAGGAAAGAUAUUACAAACUCUACAAAAUGUUAUUUUGUUUGAUAGUCAUUCUUGUGAUAAUGAUUCAACUUUCAUAAUAAGUAAAUUCCAUGGCGUAUUCUGCAUGAAAAUGCGUUUUCCGCAGACCAGACGCUUUUCUGCAUUAAAAGGUAAUUUCCGUGAUUUAUUCUGCAACUGCGGAAUCCAGGAGGGACUGAUGAGUUAGGUCUUGACCAGAAGGUAAAGGGUUAUCCGGUAUAAGUGAGGUCUUCACCAGAUGGUGCAGGUAGACCAGCAUAUCAAAUGCAGUAACUGCCGGAUGGGCUGAACAUGUUUCAAAUCAGUACUUGUGAAAACAGCUUAUGUUAUCAUAUCAAUUGUGUUCUGUUAUAUCCUUCUGUUUUUUCCACAGGCAUUUGUUAUUAUUGUUUAUGUUAAAGAGCAUAUAUCGUACACUGGCUUCAGGGAGGUUUACUUGUCUUUGAGAGCAUAUGUUCCUAACAGGUGGUUACAUUGUUUACCUGUCUUUGAGAGCAUAUGUUCCUCACAGGUGGUUACAUUGUUUACCUGUCUUUGAGAGCAUAUGUUCCUCACAGGUGGUUACAUUGUUUACCUGUCUUUGAGAGCAUAUGUCCCUCACAGGUGGUUACAUUGUUUACUUGUCUUUGAGAGCAUAUGUUCCUCACAGGUGGUUACAUUGUUUACCUGUCUUUGAGAGCAUAUGUUCCUCACAGGUGGUUACAUUGUUUACCUGUCUUUGAGAGCAUAUGUUCCUCACAGGUGGUUACAUUGUUUACCUGUCUUUGAGAGCAUAUGUUCCUCACAGGUGGUUACAUUGUUUACCUGUCUUUGAGAGCAUAUGUUCCUCACAGGUGGUUACAUUGUUUACCUGUCUUUGAGAGCAUAUGUCCCUCACAGGUGGUUACAUUGUUUACUUGUCUUUGAGAGCAUAUGUUCCUCACAGGUGGUUACAUUGUUUACCUGUCUUUGAGAGCAUAUGUCCCUCACAGGUGGUUACAUUGUUUACUUGUCUUUGAGAGCAUAUGUUCCUCACAGGUGGUUACAUUGUUUACUUGUCUUUGAGAGCAUAUGUUCCCCACAGGUGGUUACAUUGUUUACCUGUCUUUGAGAGCAUAUGUUCCUCACAGGUGGUUAGAUUUUUGUUUACCUGUUUUUAGAAAAUAUUUACAACAUAUGGGAUAGGGAGGUUUACUUCACUUUAAGAACAUAUAUACAACACUUGGACUGAGGGAGGUUUACCUGUUUUUGUGAACCUAUGUAGAGUGUUAGGGAAGCUGUGGUUGAUAUUAAAGAGCAUAUAUAUAGCACUGAGGGUAUGGGAGUUACCUGUCUUCAAGAGCAUUUAUCCUCCACUUGAGGAGCAGGGAGAUGAGCCACCAUGCAUCAAAAAUGUCAAUAAAAUAGUGAUGACAACCAAAAGCAUCUGUGCAGAAGAGGAGGGGUCACGGUGGGGUAGCCUAGUGUUAAAAGCAUUUGCUUGUCAUGCCGAAGGCCCAGGUUCGAUUCCCCACAUUGGUACAAAGUGUGAAGCCCAUUUCUGGUGUCCCCUGCCAUGAUAUUGCUGGAAUAUUGCUAAAAGCGGCAUAAAACCCAAUUCACUCACUCACUCAUUCUCUUGUCAUAAGACUGUAUGGUGCCGUCUCCAUAAUGAACAACUAUAUCAAUGGCUUGACAUAGCUGUCUAGUUUUCAGUCAUGCUUGUUUGACCUCUAUUGAUACUAAAUCUUCUCACAACUCGUGGUAUGCAACAAGGUCUUGAAAUAAUGGAAUUUUAAAACUCAUGUGUGGAUCAUUCAUGUUUGGAUCAAUUAUAUGUGGAUCAGUUAUAUAAUGGAGGAUACCUGACUUCAAGAGCACGUAUCCUACACUGGGCAUGUAUGGAAUUUAAAAAAUUAUACAUGGAUCAAUUUUGAUGGCAAUUGAACUGGAUAUCAAAAUUGACAAAGCUCUAAAAUGUGUAAUUAAUUUGAGUGAAUUAUUUCCUUUUUCAAAUGCAAGAAAAAUCUUAGUUUUCUAUUUCAUAAAGACUCUUAUAUUGAAGAUAGUCUGGUUUGCAAUAAAAUAAAGCCUCCUGACUCGACUUUUACAUCUUUCAUGCAGCAAGUACUUUGAUAAACCACCCACAUUUUGUAAACAAAUGGUCCUACCCUCAAAAUAUCAGGACCAUUCUUUCAGAUCAUUGGAUAUCAAGAUGACUCCAGAACGGCUCCCUGGCCUCCUAAGUAUACAUAGAAAAGGAAGAUAUUUCUGUUAGGUGUGGCCUGUUGGGGGAUUGAACACUUGGUGUUUGUUUAACUUUCUAUACCUCAUUAACCUUACAAUAGGUGAAAGGUGACAGUGUUUAAUAACUACAACUAUCUGGGUCCAGGGUUUUAUGAAUAUACCAUAUCCAGGUGAUUGGAACACUAAUCAUACUGGUGUACUAUACUUAUCAGGUAGAACAGCAUAGAGUAUUUGUGUAUUUAUGUUUUACAUUAACUCAUAUCUCGGUGUUGAAGUUGACUGAUCUGUGGGAAGACUCUUUGUAAUAACUGAAACAAUCCUGCAUCUGGGACAGACAUGUUUGUGGUUGUCUUGACUGCUGGAAGCAUGGUAUGCGUGUCAGAUGGGCUGUUUGUAUUGUCACUUGACAGACUUGGUAAUUCAGAGAUCGGUUGCGUAACACCAUAGAAGGCUUGGAAGAAACAAAAUUAUAUAAUCAGUAGUUUAUAUAGAUUUAUGACUUAUUGACAAGUUAAUGACAGAUCUCUGUUGACUUUUGUCAAAACCAAGGACCCUUUUGUCAAAACCAAGGACUGCUAUUAUGAAGGAGAUGGGAUUGAACCUAUGUCCAACUGGGUGUGAUAUGAAACCAUUUCAUUGAUGUGACAGCAUGUCGGAUAGUUGAUCAUACAGCCCAACCUCCCAGAUCUGCCCACCCAGGUGUGGCUUGUUCUGGGCAAGUUGGUCAUACGACCCAAUCUCCCAGAUCUGCACACAGGGCUGUGGCUUAUUUCAGGCAAGUUAGUCAUACGACCCAAUCUCCCAGAUCUGCACACCCAGCUGUGGCUAGGCCAUGACUGCGGCUGAAGGAAGUACACCAGAACCAUAAAACCAUUACAAAUGUUUGUCAAAGUGCCUAUAUUGCAUUUGAGCUGACAGUGUAUCAAACUUUUCAGAAAUUGUUUUGUUUCCUUGUUUAUGAGCACCAGAGCUCAAAAUAUUGUACAUACAAUAUACACCAGUAUUAUAGAAUAUGAACUGUUUCAUGUAGAUUUGCUUCAGAAGUUUACAAGAUCACCAUUAAUCUCAAGAAUGUGAUUGAAUGUAAGAAGUAUUUGUAACACUACUUUUUUAACUGAAACAUAUUCUGUAUUUUCAACUCGCUUGCGUGCAAUAUGAACUGUGUUGCUAUGGUUACUGUGAUCUUGUAUAUAUCUCUCAAUGAUGUUUUCAUCAUUUUGGUAAAAUGAUUACCAGGAACUUUAGACAUAUAUUUUUAUACCAGAGAAGCUAUUUUUCCUGGCUCUUGACUUUGAAUGGUUACAUGUUUUAUUGUUGUUCCUGUUAAAUCUUCCAUAAGAAUGCUUUGAAACUUUCAAUCUCUGCUCAAAUCUGUUGUCUCUGUGUCUUUCUUCAAACAAGUGAUGUCAAAAUAAGCUCUAUUUUGGUAUCUUUUUAAAUGUGUUACAUGAAGUGACUGCUUAUGAGAAACCACACACACACACUCUACACAUAUGCAUGCAAUCAAGUUUGGCUGCACCUCUUGUUGGAUCUUCUCCAUUAGAUCUUAUUUAUUGUAUGACAAUAUGAAUAGGCUAUGCCAUUUAGAAAGAGGUCACACGUUAUAUUUUGGAUUACUGUGUUAGUGUGCUGGGAGUUAGGUGCUUGACUCUGAGGGUGUGGGUUCGAAUCCCAAAUGGGACUGAACCUGUCAAAAGUACAAGCAUGUGUACUUUACUGAGAAAGUGUAAUCCAAAAUAUAACCUGUUACAUGUAUGAGAAUAGUUUACCAGUGUUUGUUUCUAAAGAGCGAUGAAGCUGUUGCAAACAUUCAAACUUGGCUCUCCCCCAUAGUAAUCCACAGCUUGACCAGAAGGAAGGUAUUUUCAACUUAUCACUUAGGUUAGCAUUUAAUGAAGUUCUGACAGCCUCUCAAGACUCAGUGUCUCAAUACUUCAUAUUCUCUUCACUGAGAUGGAAUAUUUCUAUAUUUCGCUGAACUGUCUGUAUAAAAUUCAUCUGUGAAUAAAUCCUUUCUGUGUGUAAUCAGCCCUAUUGUCAGCUGUGGGCAGUGCACAGCUGUCCAUAAAACAAACAGAAAUCAAUUUGUCUAGCUUAGAAUGUGUGCAGUGUUCCCAAAAGUAAAUCUGAGAUUACAAAGAAUUCAAAGAAUACUUCAAUACGUUCAGUGCAGCUUAGGAAAAUUCAUUCUCUUGGAUAAGAGCUGAAAAACCUCCUAUAGUGAUGACUUACUGUAUCUGAUUCUCACUUGAAUUUAUCUACUUCAGGAGUGAAGUGCAGUAUUUCUCCAAUACAUUAUCAAACACUAUCAUUUUGCAUGUUAACACAAAUGUACACCACUAUGAAAAUAUCAAGGGCAUUAUUAACUGAUUUUAAUAUCAAAAUUUCAUUUAAGUAAGUUGUUAUUUAAAGCUCAAACAUAUAUUUUCAACAAUUAUUGUGGUAUUUGAAGUAUUCUUGAAGGUGAGACAUGUGAAGACAUUUGUCAAAAUAUUGACAUCAGAAUUAAGAAAAGCAAAAUCACUGAGUCACAUUUCUAAAUACCUGCUGAUGUUUCUGUGUAAUGAACUUCCUUCCAGAGAUGAAAGAACAUGUCAAACAAGAGAAAAUGAUAGUAACAGUAAACGUUGGGCUAAAGAACGGAUUUGAUAAUAAACCUGUUUCUUCAUCUGUAGUAAGUAGAUUGGCAUUAAUAUCAAGUCAGACCUGUUUGAAACUGACCUGAUGUCUCCUAUUUAACUUCAGUUUCAGGCAGCUUCUGCUUCAAGUGUAGUUUAUGUGACAGAGACUGUGUAUUGACACAAGGUUUGUACAUAUAUGUAUAUGCUGGGUAGCUUCUUCUGGUUAUUCCUGAAAUCCUUUUGAUGCUCAAACUUACAAUAAAUUAUUUAUUAACAUGU
Molecule: long non-coding RNA, 6608 nt
Organism: Haliotis rubra (blacklip abalone)
Lineage: Eukaryota; Metazoa; Mollusca; Gastropoda; Lepetellida; Haliotidae
Exons: 2
Source: RefSeq, a predicted model, not a curated record